AUAGUGUUCACACACAACAGGCGUGCGUUCUGUUAAAAAAUACUACACAUUGUAUGGAACGCAUUUUUAGAUGACUAAUUAAGCUUUACAAUAUUAUCGUAUUCUCGAAACUUUAUCAGAAAUCAAUUUGAUGUCAUGUUAUAUUCCAAAAGUCAACUGCACUGCAAACUCAAGUGACUUCGAAAAACAUCGGUACUAUUAUACCGUUAUACUUUGGUAAGGCUCAUUUCGACUUACAAACAUUUUAAACUCUGAAACAUACAAGGUGCGGCAGUCAAAUCCAACGGUUUAAAAAAAUGUAAAAAAAUGUUUUUAUUUAUUUUUCGCCAAACAAAUAAAAACUAAACAAGUGGAAUUUUAUGUUGUAUAGGUAUUUGGGAGGAAGUAAUGCGAAAGCAGUCCCCUCCCGGUCGUCGGUUUAAACUGCAAAAAAAAAAAAAAAAGGUAUUUAAAAACUUCAUUUUUUAAAGAUUGUGUCACGUAAAUGCCUUCCAUGGAUAGCCACACAUAUAUUACACAUAUAUCAUUAUUUUCGUAAUACGCUUCUACCACGAACGGUGCCUGUUCACUCGAUCAAUGUUCCAUGAUUACUAAAUUUCGGGUAUUUAAAAGCGAUAAGAACAUUUCCAAAAUCUCUACCACUUUAGCUCUGACCACCAGUUCUUUUUAAAUUGUUGGGUUUGACUGCCGCACCAUGUACUAACGUAAAGAUUCGGUCUACAGUAAUUCUGUCACACUAAAUUUUACUCAACUAAAUUAAAUAGUUAUAUAAGUAAUCGCAGUGGAGUAUCAAUCUAAAUAAUAUAAUAUAAAUAUCCAAACUUCAAAAGUACAAUUAAUUUAAAAAUUGAAACGUUUCUAGGUAUAUAUUUGUUUAAGUUAAGUUUACAGUUUAUCUAGAAUAUCCAUAAAUAAUUCAAAUGUCACAGGGCUGUUAGGUAUAUUUGCACGAAUGACAAAAAAUAUCGUAGCUCGCAAAUAUAAGACCAUGUGAAAGGAACUGUUAUCAAAUUUAUGUGUACACGAUUGAGUUAGCCGGUUUUAUACGAUGAUCGAAGUGAUGCUGUUCGCACUAUUGUUUAUGUUAAUCGUGAUCGGAUAUUUUUGUAUUGCGUUCGUUAGUCUAAUAUAGGUAUUAUACUUAUUUUUAGCGCCAUAAUGUUCUCAACGGUCCUGACACAAAACCAAUGUGUUUGCACCUAUAGGCUAUAAUAAAGUAUCAUAAAACGAGAUGACACUUCGACUUAACGAGUCGUGUACGUGUAAUACGACAAUCAAUAAUACCUCAUACUUCUGAAAAUACGGGUCGACCAAACGCAGAGUCCGUUUCAAAAUUUAUCAUUCUUUAUUUUUCUAUUAAUUUCGUAAAUGUGUACCGAAUACUAAACGUUAAUGGACUCGGAAACUGUAUGCUCAGCCUAAUUGUAUUGUUAUCAUAUUAUUUGAUAACAAAAUGAUCAUGUUUUUCUUUGCUAACUUAUUUAUUUCCCUGAGUAUUUUAUUAGAUAUAUAAUACAAAUUAAUACUAAAUACAUCCCUAAAUGUAAAUAAUGGUUUAAUAAUAUUUAAAAAAAGAAAAUGAUGAAGUAACUACGCCAUCUAUGAGAAAAUAUAUUUAUUGAUGUAAGCAAAUAAUAUUAUGUUCUAACUAAUUAUGAAGACAGAUGGAGCUGUAUGUUUAUAAAUGGGUUUUUUAGCAAUAAUAAAACAAAUGGAAUGCAUGAGAAUUAAAAAUGUAAUUAAGUAAUUAUAUAGAAAUAUAAAUAACCAAUCAAUUAUUUUAAAUAUUUCAACUGUCAACAAUACACCAAUAAACAUUUGAUUUAAACAUUAAAGUUAUUGUUAAAGAAAUUAAAAAUUACAAUUUAUACUUAUAUAUUUCUAAUAAAACAAAUCGAUGUUUUGAGUAAAUGUAUCAAAUUAUCAUUUAUAUACUUUUACAGGGUCUAUAGCAGCGGUUACCAACCUGGGGUACGCGAAAAAAUUAUUUUUCGUAUAUUUAUAUUCUAAAUUGAUAUUUGGGGUACGUGAAAUAGUGGUGAGAGAGGUCAAAAGGUACGCGAAUGAAAAAAGGUUGAGAACCGCUGGUCUAUAGACACUAUAAAAUACAUCAAUUACAGUAGAUCAUAAUCGAUUAAUACUCUAAGCCAGUGACGCCCGUAGAGUUAAAGUAACAUUAGAGCACAAAAAAAAAAAAAACAAUUAAAAUCGCACUCUUCAUCAAGAAAAAUGUUAAUAAACAAUAAAACUAUAACAUAAAAAACACAUCUGUUAAUUGAAAAAUUAUAUGUUGAUGUUUAUGUAAAAUAUAUAGAAUAUUAGUGAUGCUAAUUAGAUAGAUGAAAUGCAUAUAAUAUACAUUGCAUAUGCUUCGGAAAUGGCAAUUAGACGGAAGUCUCAUUAUUAUACAGCAGAUUUUAGAUGUUGAUGUCGACACGUUAACGAGUGACAAUCGACAAACGUCGAAAUCGGACCAAGUAUUAGCACGAUUUCAUGCAAUGCAAGAGUCAAUAAUUAAUACUGCGUAUCGCUCGACAGUCGACUAUAAGAAUCCGUUUUAAAUAUAUUAUGUGUAAUGACUGUUCACCCUCUUGUCAUCAUCACUGCUCCAAGAGUACAAAAUGUCUAAACAUUGAAAUUGAAAUCAUUGUAAGUAAAUCUGUGGAAAAAGUUAUAUGUAUAUUAUUAUAAUGUAAUAUAUAUGUCUAUAUUUGUUGUUGAGUGUGAACGUAUUAAACGAUUUGGUAAAUUACAUUGUUAGUCAUAAGCUUAUAAUAUAGUUUAUGAUAUAUUUUAUUCAAAGUCAAUGAAAAUUACUAGUAAAACGUAAACUCUCCACAAACACUUAAAAAAAUACUCAGCAUUGUUUGUAGGCAGUUGAAAAAGUGAUCGGGACACCUUUAAACUGUUGCCAAGUAAAACUCUCUCCUUGUGCACCGAGUAAUUUAUUUUGAAGAUAUACAGUUUACCCACUCCUUGUCUCAGUUUUUGAAAACGGAUUGCACAGUACAACGGUUCUGGUCCGGAGAAUUUUUGCUGGCAAAACGUCAAAUCCCUGUUAACUUGACAGAAUUGCUUUAUUUUGCACUCUCUCUUUGUUCGGGUACCCUUAUUGUCCCACGGCAAUCGCAACCACCCAACCCCCUCUUACACCAUCACCCGUUCGCUCGUCCGUCCGUUCAUCCAUCCAAAACCUUUACACCCGGUGUCGACAAAAACAAAGGAAAUUAUUCGAGAAAUUAUGCUCUCACCGUCUGGUUUUUCCAAAUCAGAAAGUCAGAAAAAUAGGCAUUGUUUUUUUAACCGUGAAAUAUUUAUUUAUUUUCUUAUUACACGAGCCAAGUUUGUAUAUAAUGUUUUCGUUUUAUAACAAAGAUUUAUAAACAAGAAAGAACGUUUAAAUUCUAAAAAUAUAAUUUUUUUAUUCAAACGUUUACGUAAUACUUAUACGAUAAUG
Long non-coding RNA from Aphis gossypii (cotton aphid), 3457 nucleotides. RefSeq lists it as uncharacterized. The transcript has 3 exons. The record is from RefSeq and is a predicted model, not a curated record. NCBI's taxonomy places the organism in Eukaryota, Metazoa, Arthropoda, Insecta, Hemiptera, Aphididae.